UGAAUACGAGAUGCUACGGCGUCGAAGCAGUCUAUGUCAUACUUCCAAGAAAAGCUUGCACUGUCAUAAACAAAUAAUGCCUGUACCAUAACCGACACAGGUGGGUAGGUAGAGUAUACUAAGGGGCGCGAGAUAACUCUCUCUAAGGAACUCGGCAAAAUGACUCCGUAACUUCGGGAGAAGGAGUGCCUUAUUUAUAAGGUUGCAAUAACAAGAUCCAAGCAACUGUUUACCAAAAACACAGGUCUCCGCUAAGUCGUAAGACGAUGUAUGGGGGCUGACGCCUGCCCAGUGCCAGAAGGUUAAAGAAGUUGGUUAGCAUCCGCGAAGCUGAUAACUGAAGCCCUGGUGAACGGCGGCCGUAACGAUAACGGUCCUAAGGUAGCGAAAUUCCUUGUCGGGUAAGUUCCGACCCGCACGAAAGGCGUAAUGAUUUGGAUACUGUCUCGGAGAGGGGCUCGGUGAAAUAGACUUGUCUGUGAAGAUGCGGACUACCUGCACCAGGACAGAAAGACUCUAUGAAGCUUUACUGUAACCUGAAAUUGAAAUUGGACUUUACUUGCGCAGUAUAGGUGGGAGGCGUUGAGAAUAUUCUUGCGGGAUUAUUGGAGCCAUCAGUGAGAUACCACUCUUGUAAUGUUAGAUUUCUAACUUUGUAUCAUUAUCUGGUCAAAGAACAGUUUCAGGCGGGCAGUUUGACUGGGGCGGUCGCCUCCUAAACGGUAACGGAGGCGCACAAAGGUUUCCUCUGAACGGGUAGAAAUCGUAUCUAGAGUGUAAAGGCAUAAGGAAGCUUGACUGUGAGACCUACAAGUCGAGCAGGGACGAAAGUCGGUCUUAGUGAUCUGACGGUGCUGAGUGGAAAGGCCGUCACUCAACGGAUAAAAGUUACUCUAAGGAUAACAGGCUGAUCUCCCCCAAGAGUUUACAUCGACGUGGAGGUUUGGCACCUCGAUGUCGGCUCAUCGCAUCCUGGGGCGGUAGUACGUCCCAAGGGUUGGGCUGUUCGCCCAUGAAAGCGGUACGCGAGCUGGGUUCAGAACGUCGUGAGACAGUUCGGUCCAUAUCCGGUGUAGGCGUUAGAAUAUUGAGAGGAGCCUUCUUUAGUACGAGAGGACCGAGAAGGACAUACCUCUGGUGUACCAGUUAUCGUGCCAACGGUAAACGCUGGGUAGCUAUGUGUGGAGUGGAUAACCGCUGAAAGCAUCUAAGUGGGAAGCCCACCUCAAGAUAAG
This 1235-nucleotide ribosomal RNA is filed under the name metagenome. RNAcentral describes it as "bacterial LSU rRNA". It matches the Rfam family "Bacterial large subunit ribosomal RNA", at positions 1564 to 2808 of the family's 2925-position model. The record is from RNAcentral.